Molecule: unclassified non-coding RNA, 340 nt
Filed under: uncultured Diversispora
Lineage: Eukaryota; Fungi; Glomeromycota; Glomeromycetes; Diversisporales; Diversisporaceae
Description: sequence contains ITS1
Rfam family: 5.8S ribosomal RNA (bases 1-104)
Source: RNAcentral
GAAAUGCGAUACGUAGUGUGAAUUGCAGAUCCGUGAAUCAUCGAAUGUUUGAACGCAAACGGCGCUCUCGUUGAAUAGGCGAGAGCAUGCCUGUCUGAGUGUCAUUGACCUCGGCUACCCUCCUCCUCUGGUGGGGGGUGACAGUGGGUGCUAUGCCCUUUGCUAAAGGGGGCAUACCGCCUGAAACGCAGCCAAAAGCACGGAACGCCAGGAGUCCGCACGAGACGGUGAGAGCCAACACUCGGGCGGGCACAGCGGCCAUAAGCCGUGCAGGCACAGCUUGCCAACCAACCAACAGAAACAUGACCUCAGAUCAGGCAAGGGUACCCGCUGAAUUUAA